UUCAUGCUGAGAAUUUCAUCUGGUUGAUAAAACAAGACCACAGGGAACAGGCAUAAACUCCCAUAGUGAUAUAUGACAAUUGGCUUUGUACAAUGUCUAAGGUAGCAGCAACUGCCAACAGCAGAACUGGGAGAACAGCCUGGAAUCCAAUCUCAAUUAAAGCUACACAUCAUCCUCAACUGGCGACUCCUGGGAGGCCUCUCUCUUCUGUAUCUGUUCUGCAAAACCACCAAAUGCCUCCAGCUGACAGCUUUUCAAAAUAGUUACUUUUGGCAUCACUUCUAUGGGCACAAUAUGUCCUGGAUAAUUUAUUUCAUCUUACGUGUUAGGCUCUUUUCUAAUUAAAUCUUUUGCUUCAUGAAA
Molecule: long non-coding RNA, 363 nt
Organism: Pantherophis guttatus
Lineage: Eukaryota; Metazoa; Chordata; Lepidosauria; Squamata; Colubridae
Source: RefSeq, a predicted model, not a curated record